This is a non-coding RNA of Schizosaccharomyces pombe (fission yeast), 1132 nucleotides long. Lineage: Eukaryota; Fungi; Ascomycota; Schizosaccharomycetes; Schizosaccharomycetales; Schizosaccharomycetaceae. The record is from the annotation of a GenBank genome assembly.
GAAAUCGGACGCACUCUUCAAUGUGGUAUGUGCAAUGGAACAGAGAGCUUCUGUAGUAAAAAACGCCUGAUGUGAGGUAACCAAAACGUUUGGAAAAUUAACAAGACGUUGAAACGUAGAAUCCUUUAUUACUUCGUUAGAAAGAUCCUUAUAAAAUAAGUUUCUUUCACCUUCAUAUACAUCUAUUGCACAACCUCCGACUUGGCCGGAGUCGAUGGCGUCAACCAACGCUUUCGUAUCAAUUAAACCUCCUCUACUAGUGUUCACAAUUGUUACUCCCUUUUUCAUUAAAGCUAGGGAGUCAGAAUUCACAAUGUGCGUUGUACUGGGCGUUAAUGGGCAAUGGAGGCAUAAAAAGUCAGCCUUCUUUAAAACCUCAUUUUGCUCAACAAAUUGAACUCCAUAGUUUUCUAACUUCUUAUCCGGAUUGAUAUCGUAAGCUAAUACAUCGCAACCAAAACCCAUUUUAAAACAUUUUGCAACAUUACUCCCGAUUUUCCCAGUACCAAUCACUCCCACUGUUUUACCAUGUAUGUCACAUCCAAGUAGUCCGACAAUAUUGAAGUCAUCUUCACGCACCCGAACAUAGGCACGAUGAAUUUUACGAUUAAGAGACAAGAGUAAACCAACAGUGAAUUCAGACACAGCAAAAGGCGAAUAGGAGGGGACGUGCACAACAGUUAUUUUAUAUUCGGACGCUGCCUUUAGAUUAACGUUGUUGUACCCCCCACAACGAAGAGCGACCAACUUAACACCAUUUUCUGCCAAAGCUUUUAAAGUAUCAGCAUCUACUUGGUCGUUCACAAACACACACACCACCUGUGCUUUGCCUGCCAAAGAAACUGUAUCUUUGUUCAAUGAAAAAUUGUGAUAUAUUAUUUCAUGGUUAAAAGUUUUGUUAGCUUCUUCAAAAGGCCCUCUAUCGUAUGAUUGACUACUAAAAAGGACAACACGCAUUGUUGGAAGCAAAGGGGUAAAAUGUUAUGAAUAGAGGAAAUAAAAGUUAAAAGCUGAGAGAUACUAUAAAUAGUUGUUCAGCGUUCGCAAUGAAGUUCUUAUGAAUGAUAUUAAUCAACCUAAUCUUUGGAAACUUAUUACAUUUAGAAAUUUAAUUUGCCCACGAGAAUAUAGU